ACUUUCUCAGAGGGCAGAUUAGGACAGACGUCCCCCGAAACCGGAUGGCCGCUCUCAGGUUUCUCUCUGUCGGUGUAUAAGACUCCUAGGGAUAAGUUGCAGUGUGUAUUUUGUUGCGCGACUACCAUCAUGAAUCUCUUUUCCAUGGCGUCGGAAAGAGGCAUACCUGCUGCCGACGAUCUGACUCCCGUGUCUACAGACUAAUCUGCCGUCGUUGUAUCGACUGUUCAAUAUGUAGACAGCUUUUACGGGAAUCGAUUGGAGGGAGAAGAACAAUAUUGGUGGACGCAGUUCUGCGCCGCGAUCGAGUUAAAACAAUGGAUUAACAGUUUCUCAAGAGUAUCACGAUAAAUAAGAUUAGAUUCGAUGCUGGUGAUAAUGUAGAAAAAUGUAUCAUAAUCAUAAUUUGACGAUUUCAUAAAGAAGAAGACCAAUAUCUUGUGUAAAGCUAGCUGAACAGUUUUAUGCUUCCAGUAUCAAUUAAAAUUCUUAAAUAGCCUCUUAAAUAGUCUAACUGUUAGUUCUUUCGCACGUUAUUAUGUAACAUUAGCAAAGACUGAAUUAGAUUAUACGUAAAGUGUGGCUUUAUCUUUAUUUGUAACUCUAUUGUACAAUAUGUCACAGGACAUCGAAAAAAAAAGAAACGUUUAGAUAUUCUAUAAUUUAUGUACAAUACAGAACUUAUAAAGAAUUGAUAACCAUUUA
Long non-coding RNA from Temnothorax curvispinosus, 705 nucleotides. RefSeq lists it as uncharacterized. Lineage: Eukaryota; Metazoa; Arthropoda; Insecta; Hymenoptera; Formicidae. The record is from RefSeq and is a predicted model, not a curated record. The transcript has 2 exons.